UAACGUUCUAAAAAACAAAUUCUGGUGCUUUUUCAUUUUUUUGGAAUAGAAAUAGGAUGAAAACUGUAUGGUAUGUCCGGUUCAUUUUUUUGUUUUUUUUAAAUGAACCGGGCAUUUGGCAAGCUUUUGAGUCCCAUUUUUAGCACAACAAAUUGUUGCUUUUCACCUUCAGAAUCGAUUCUGAGAAAAAGGCGGAGAAACACAAGGUUAGUUUAAGUUACGAGGGGCAUAAUGGAAAUUUGCCACUUCAAACAUAACACAACCCUAAAUCGAUGAAUGCUUCAAUUGCACAACUCUUCUUUUUCUCCGAAGUCGAAGAUCUUGCGACCUGCAAAUGGUGAAAGAGAUCUGAUCUCAAAUGCGAAGGAUGAUCGGCGAAAGAGAUGUGUUCGUUGAUCGGUCGCAAACAUCGUCUAAUGUGAUUUCUUCGUUGGAUUCCAUAGAUUUAUUUGAAGGUUUUGUCUGUGUUGAAGUUUACUAAGCACAAUCAAAUGCUUGAAGAUUACAUAAAGUCUUUUAGAGAAGCAUUUGCUGUAUUUCAGCAUGCCAAAAUAUUUGAUGCUGGCACAAAGACAAUAAAACACAUAAAACCUCUAUCUGAAAAGAUUUUGCAAUCUCUAGAUGGCAAUCUGGAUUUCCUGGGACCAGACAUCCCUUCAUCAGUAGCAACUGCCACGGCUGAAGGUCGCUUAGAUCCAAUUACCAUGGAAGCCUUUGGUAACUCAAAGAAAGCUAAAAGUUGUCUGGACCCAAAUGUAACUCUAGCUUCUGAUCAAGUGCUAAGAGCGGAGACCCAGGUGGUGAUGUCUACGCAAGAGAGCUGCUUUUCCAUUUUUUGUUCUUGUGAAACAAGAGAUAAAAGGGAUACAUGCAAGCUUUCUUUUAAUCAUGCAACUUCAUAGUUUAUAGAGAAGCUUUUCCACUGUGUUGUAUACAGAGCAGAAGGUGACUUUGGAUAAGAGGAGCUAUUUGAAGGAAGCUGCUGCCCUUGAAAAACUAAUAGCCCCUUCAGAAUUCCACGAGAAAGUUGAUGACAUUGAAGAAAAAAGAGAAUUUCCAGACAACAACCCCCUCAAGAAAAGAAAAGUUGUUGAUUUUCAGUUGGAACAAAUGCAAACCACUACUGAACAAGCUUCAAAGGUGAUAGAUGUUGAAGAAUAAGAUAAGGUUAUAGAAAGAAGAGAGAUUCUCAAAAACCCAUUCAAGAAAGUAGAACUUGAUUCUCAGUUGGAGCAGAGACAGACAACCAUGGAGUUUCUCAAAAACUCUUUCAAGAAAGUAGAGUUUCUCAGAAACAUUUGUUUUGAUUCAUCUUUCUUUGGACUUUAUGAUGGAUAUUCUUUCUUCUUGCCCUUUGAAAUGUAAUCAUAAAAUUUUCAUAAAAUUUUCAUAUUUGAUAAAUGUUAUUAUCAUUACAAGUUCCUGCUUUAAUUGACUACUUUUGAUGAAGUGGGUGUUUACAUUUCCUUGCCCAUUUGUAAAUAAAGUCACUAAAUUAAACUGUUACGACUAGUGUGAUAUGUUAUUUCUUUAUAGCUACUAUUUACUUGUACUGGUCACAGCCUUGGACAAUUUCCUUCUUGUUCUUUUCCUAUUAUCUUCUGUUUGUUUAAGCCAAAUCAGUCCUAUCCCUUCUCCCACGAUCUUUCUUAGAAGUUCAGCUCUAGAAAUCUGAAAACAGGGUUGUCCAAUCCUAAAUCACUAUGACUUGA
Macadamia integrifolia is the source of this 1712-nucleotide RNA transcript. It is a transcript of the gene named exonuclease 1-like, with no coding region annotated. Lineage: Eukaryota; Viridiplantae; Streptophyta; Magnoliopsida; Proteales; Proteaceae. The record is from RefSeq and is a predicted model, not a curated record. The transcript has 6 exons.